UACGAAGGGGGCUAGCGUUGUUCGGAAUUACUGGGCGUAAAGGGCGCGUAGGCGGCCGAUCAAGUUAGAUGUGGAAGUCCUGGGCUUAACCUGGGGACUGCAUUUGAUACUGAUUGGCUUGAAUUCGGGAGAGGAUAGCGGAAUUCCCAGUGUAGAGGUGAAAUUCGUAGAUAUUGGGAAGAACACCGGUGGCGAAGGCGGCUAUCUGGACCGACAUUGACGCUGAGGCGCGAAAGCGUGGGGAGCAAACAGG
RNAcentral lists this ribosomal RNA (253 nucleotides) under uncultured bacterium. Its description in RNAcentral is "partial 16S ribosomal RNA". It matches the Rfam family "Bacterial small subunit ribosomal RNA", at positions 524 to 776 of the family's 1533-position model. The record is from RNAcentral.